UACGUAGGGUGCAAGCGUUGUCCGGAAUUAUUGGGCGUAAAGGGCUCGUAGGCGGUCCAUCGCGUCGGGAGUGAAAAGCUGGGGCUUAACCCCAGUCCUGCUUCCGAUACGGGUGGACUAGAGGUAGGUAGGGGAGAACGGAAUUCCUGGUGUAGCGGUGAAAUGCGCAGAUAUCAGGAGGAACACCGGUGGCGAAGGCGGGUCUCUGGGCCGAUACUGACGCUGAGGAGCGAAAGCGUGGGGAGCGAACAGG
RNAcentral lists this ribosomal RNA (253 nucleotides) under uncultured bacterium. RNAcentral describes it as "partial 16S ribosomal RNA". It matches the Rfam family "Bacterial small subunit ribosomal RNA", at positions 524 to 776 of the family's 1533-position model. The record is from RNAcentral.